RNAcentral lists this ribosomal RNA (222 nucleotides) under Narceus americanus. RNAcentral describes it as "partial 12S small subunit ribosomal RNA". Lineage: Eukaryota; Metazoa; Arthropoda; Diplopoda; Spirobolida; Spirobolidae. The record is from RNAcentral.
UGCAGUUAAUAAGGGAGGUUGGAUUAAAUGAGUUACAAUAAAUAUAUUUAUUAACGGAAAGGGGAUGGAAGGCUUCUAAUAAGGUGGAUUUGUUUGUAAGUGUUUACUAGGAUGAGAUGCUGAAAAAGCUCUGAAAUAUGCACAUAUCGCCCGUCAUUCUUGUCUUUAGAUGAGACAAGUCGUAACAUAGUAGAGGUAUUGGAAAAUGUCUCUUGAAAGGCA